RNAcentral lists this ribosomal RNA (460 nucleotides) under uncultured bacterium. Its description in RNAcentral is "partial 16S ribosomal RNA". It matches the Rfam family "Bacterial small subunit ribosomal RNA", at positions 338 to 795 of the family's 1533-position model. The record is from RNAcentral.
CCUACGGGAGGCAGCAGUGAGGAAUAUUGGUCAAUGGACGAGAGUCUGAACCAGCCAAGUAGCGUGAAGGAUGACUGCCCUAUGGGUUGUAAACUUCUUUUAUAUGGGAAUAAAACGUUCCACGUGUGGGAUUUUGUAUGUACCAUAUGAAUAAGGAUCGGCUAACUCCGUGCCAGCAGCCGCGGUAAUACGGAGGAUCCGAGCGUUAUCCGGAUUUAUUGGGUUUAAAGGGAGCGUAGGUGGAUUGUUAAGUCAGUUGUGAAAGUUUGCGGCUCAACCGUAAAAUUGCAGUUGAAACUGGCAGUCUUGAGUACAGUAGAGGUGGGCGGAAUUCGUGGUGUAGCGGUGAAAUGCUUAGAUAUCACGAAGAACUCCGAUUGCGAAGGCAGUUCACUGGACUGCAACUGACACUGAGGCUCGAAAGUGUGGGUAUCAAACAGGAUUAGAGACCCUAGUAGUC